GCACAGCGAUGUGUGGAGUUGACUGUUACUAAUCGGUCGAAAGCUUGACCAA
This 52-nucleotide ribosomal RNA is filed under the name Anaerobutyricum soehngenii. RNAcentral describes it as "partial 23S ribosomal RNA". The record is from RNAcentral. Lineage: Bacteria; Bacillati; Bacillota; Clostridia; Lachnospirales; Lachnospiraceae.